This 1460-nucleotide ribosomal RNA is filed under the name Enterobacteriaceae bacterium S29_ASV_15. Its description in RNAcentral is "partial 23S ribosomal RNA". It matches the Rfam family "Bacterial large subunit ribosomal RNA", at positions 868 to 2306 of the family's 2925-position model. Lineage: Bacteria; Pseudomonadati; Pseudomonadota; Gammaproteobacteria; Enterobacterales; Enterobacteriaceae. The record is from RNAcentral.
AUUUAGGUAGCGCCUCGUGAACUCAUCUUCGGGGGUAGAGCACUGUUUCGGCUAGGGGGCCAUCCCGGCUUACCAACCCGAUGCAAACUACGAAUACCGAAGAAUGUUAUCACGGGAGACACACGGCGGGUGCUAACGUCCGUCGUGAAGAGGGAAACAACCCAGACCGCCAGCUAAGGUCCCAAAGUCAUGGUUAAGUGGGAAACGAUGUGGGAAGGCACAGACAGCCAGGAUGUUGGCUUAGAAGCAGCCAUCAUUUAAAGAAAGCGUAAUAGCUCACUGGUCGAGUCGGCCUGCGCGGAAGAUGUAACGGGGCUAAACCAUGCACCGAAGCUGCGGCAGCGACACUUAUGUGUUGUUGGGUAGGGGAGCGUUCUGUAAGCCGUUGAAGGUGUGCUGUGAGGCAUGCUGGAGGUAUCAGAAGUGCGAAUGCUGACAUAAGUAACGAUAAAGCGGGUGAAAAGCCCGCUCGCCGGAAGACCAAGGGUUCCUGUCCAACGUUAAUCGGGGCAGGGUGAGUCGACCCCUAAGGCGAGGCCGAAAGGCGUAGUCGAUGGGAAACAGGUUAAUAUUCCUGUACUUGGUGUUACUGCGAAGGGGGGACGGAGAAGGCUAUGUCAGCCGGGCGACGGUUGUCCCGGUUUAAGCAUGUAGGCGGAGGUUCCAGGUAAAUCCGGUACCUUGUUAACGCUGAGGUGUGAUGACGAGGCACUACGGUGCUGAAGUGAUAAAUGCCCUGCUUCCAGGAAAAGCCUCUAAGCAUCAGGUAACACGAAAUCGUACCCCAAACCGACACAGGUGGUCAGGUAGAGAAUACCAAGGCGCUUGAGAGAACUCGGGUGAAGGAACUAGGCAAAAUGGUGCCGUAACUUCGGGAGAAGGCACGCUGAUGUGUAGGUGAAGCCCCUGCGGGUGGAGCUGAAAUCAGUCGAAGAUACCAGCUGGCUGCAACUGUUUAUUAAAAACACAGCACUGUGCAAACACGAAAGUGGACGUAUACGGUGUGACGCCUGCCCGGUGCCGGAAGGUUAAUUGAUGGGGUUAGCGGCAACGCGAAGCUCUUGAUCGAAGCCCCGGUAAACGGCGGCCGUAACUAUAACGGUCCUAAGGUAGCGAAAUUCCUUGUCGGGUAAGUUCCGACCUGCACGAAUGGCGUAAUGAUGGCCAGGCUGUCUCCACCCGAGACUCAGUGAAAUUGAACUCGCUGUGAAGAUGCAGUGUACCCGCGGCAAGACGGAAAGACCCCGUGAACCUUUACUAUAGCUUGACACUGAACACUGGUCCUUGAUGUGUAGGAUAGGUGGGAGGCUUUGAAGCGUGGACGCCAGUCUGCGUGGAGCCAACCUUGAAAUACCACCCUUUAAUGGCUGGUGUUCUAACGUAGACCCGUAAUCCGGGUUGCGGACAGUGUCUGGUGGGUAGUUUGACUGGGGCGGUCUCCUCCCAAAGAGUAACGGAGG